Molecule: long non-coding RNA, 394 nt
Organism: Oreochromis aureus
Lineage: Eukaryota; Metazoa; Chordata; Actinopteri; Cichliformes; Cichlidae
Exons: 5
Source: RefSeq, a predicted model, not a curated record
UCUAAAAGCACUCUGUGUGGGGAACAUGAGAGCCAGACCAAAGCUCAGAGGAACCCACCUGGACCUCCACCCAGCUGUGUGUCCUUACAGAGUGACAAAGUGAAUAAAUCUGAACAAAGACAGUCAUCUGAGAAAAAGAUCCGUCAGAGUCUCAAAUGUGGACCUCCACUCAGCUCUGUGUCCUUAAAAAGUGACUGGUCUGCAGAUCGUCCCAUUAAUUUUAAAGUCCAGCCUCUGUUUGCAGCAGAGAGGAAGAAGCAACAUGAGAGCCAGACCAAAGCUCAGAGGAAGAAACAUAGAAGGAGGAGGAAAUGUAAACCUGAACCAGAAACUGAACCUGGACCUCAACCCAGCUCUGUGUCCUUACAGACUGACACGUCUAAAGAUAACACCG